Molecule: ribosomal RNA, 163 nt
Filed under: uncultured bacterium
Lineage: Bacteria
Description: partial 16S rRNA
Rfam family: Bacterial small subunit ribosomal RNA
Source: RNAcentral
UAGGGAAUCUUCCACAAUGGACGAAAGUCUGAUGGAGCAACGCCGCGUGAGUGAAGAAGGGUUUCGGCUCGUAAACUCUGUUGUUAAAGAAGAACAUAUCUGAGAGUAACUGUUCAGGUAUUGACGGUAUUUAACCAGAAAGCCACGGCUAACUACGUGCCCG